This 444-nucleotide ribosomal RNA is filed under the name uncultured Flavobacteriales bacterium. RNAcentral's name for it is "bacterial SSU rRNA". It matches the Rfam family "Bacterial small subunit ribosomal RNA", at positions 471 to 917 of the family's 1533-position model. Lineage: Bacteria; Pseudomonadati; Bacteroidota; Flavobacteriia; Flavobacteriales. The record is from RNAcentral.
GACGGUACUAUUCGAAUAAUCACCGGCUAACUCCGUGCCAGCAUCCGCGGUAAUACGGAGGGUGCGAGCGUUAUCCGGAAUUAUUGGGUUUAAAGGGUGCGUAGGCGGAAAUUUAAGUCAGUGGUGAAAGCCUGCAGCUUAACUGUAGAAUUGCCAUUGAUACUGGAUUUCUUGAAUCUAAUAGAAGUAGGCGGAAUAUGACAUGUAGCGGUGAAAUGCUUAGAUAUGUCAUAGAACACCGAUAGCGAAGGCAGCUUACUAUGUUAGUAUUGACGCUAAUGCACGAAAGCGUGGGGAGCGAACAGGAUUAGAUACCCUGGUAGUCCACGCCGUAAACGAUGAUUACUCGCUAUUGGCGAUACACUGUCAGUGGCUAAGCGAAAGUGAUAAGUAAUCCACCUGGGGAGUACGAUCGCAAGGUUGAAACUCAAAGGAAUUGACGGA